This 405-nucleotide ribosomal RNA is filed under the name uncultured bacterium. RNAcentral describes it as "bacterial SSU rRNA". It matches the Rfam family "Bacterial small subunit ribosomal RNA", at positions 355 to 776 of the family's 1533-position model. The record is from RNAcentral.
UGGGGGAUAUUGCACAAUGGGGGGAACCCUGAUGCAGCGACGCCGCGUGAGCGAAGAAGUGCCUCGGCAUGUAAAGCUCUAUCAGCAGGGAAGAGAGAGGACGGUACCUGACUAAGAAGCCCCGGCUAAAUACGUGCCAGCAGCCGCGGUAAUACGUAUGGGGCAAGCGUUAUCCGGAUUUACUGGGUGUAAAGGGAGCGUAGGCGGCCAGGCAAGUCUGGUGUGAAAACCCGGGGCCCAACCCCGGGCGUGCAUUGGAAACUGCCUGGCUGGAGUGCCGGAGGGGCAGGCGGAAUUCCUAGUGUAGCGGUGAAAUGCGUAGAUAUUAGGAGGAACACCGGUGGCGAAGGCGGCCUGCUGGACGGCAACUGACGCUGAGGCUCGAAAGCGUGGGGAGCAAACAGG